GGGGCCAUGGCUCAGUGGGAGAGCACUAGCUUGGUGUGCAGAAGGUCCCAGGUUUGAUCCCCGGCAUCUCUA
This 72-nucleotide transfer RNA is filed under the name Sphaerodactylus townsendi. Its description in RNAcentral is "tRNA-Thr". Lineage: Eukaryota; Metazoa; Chordata; Lepidosauria; Squamata; Sphaerodactylidae. The record is from RNAcentral.